GAUAAACGCUGGCGGCGUGCCUAAUGCAUGCAAGUCGAACGGAUAGUAGCAAUACUAUUAGUGGCAAACGGGUGAGUAACACGUGGGAAUCUGCCUUGAAGUGGGGAAUAACUGCUCGAAAGAGUAGCUAAUACCGCAUGUGGUUAUCUGCAAAGAUAACUAAAGCUCCGCAAGGGGUGCUUUAAGAGGAGCCUGCGACUGAUUAGCUAGUUGGUGGGGUAAAGGCNCACCAAGGCUGUGAUCAGUAGCUGGUCUGAGAGGAUGGUCAGCCACACUGGGACU
RNAcentral lists this ribosomal RNA (282 nucleotides) under uncultured bacterium. Its description in RNAcentral is "partial 16S ribosomal RNA". It matches the Rfam family "Bacterial small subunit ribosomal RNA", at positions 28 to 320 of the family's 1533-position model. The record is from RNAcentral.